UACGGAGGGGGCUAGCGUUGUUCGGAAUUACUGGGCGUAAAGCGCACGUAGGCGGCUUUGUAAGUUAGAGGUGAAAGCCCAGGUCUUAACCCUGGAAUUGCCUUUAAGACUGCAUCGCUAGAAUCGUGGAGAGGUAAGUGGAAUUCCGAGUGUAGAGGUGAAAUUCGUAGAUAUUCGGAAGAACACCAGUGGCGAAGGCGACUCACUGGACACGUAUUGACGCUGAGGUGCGAAAGCGUGGGGAGCAAACAGG
RNAcentral lists this ribosomal RNA (253 nucleotides) under uncultured bacterium. RNAcentral describes it as "partial 16S ribosomal RNA". It matches the Rfam family "Bacterial small subunit ribosomal RNA", at positions 524 to 776 of the family's 1533-position model. The record is from RNAcentral.